GAUGAACGCUGGCGGCGUGCCUAAUACAUGCAAGUCGAGCGAACAGACGAGGAGCUUGCUCCUCUGACGUUAGCGGCGGACGGGUGAGUAACACGUGGAUAACCUACCUAUAAGACUGGGAUAACUUCGGGAAACCGGAGCUAAUACCGGAUAAUAUAUUGAACCGCAUGGUUCAAUAGUGAAAGACGGUUUUGCUGUCACUUAUAGAUGGAUCCGCGCCGCAUUAGCUAGUUGGUAAGGUAACGGCUUACCAAGGCAACGAUGCGUAGCCGACCUGAGAGGGUGAUCGGCCACACUGGAACUGAGACACGGGCCAGACGCCUACGGGAGGCAGCAGUAGGGAAUCUUCCGCAAUGGGCGAAAGCCUGACGGAGCAACGCCGCGUGAGUGAUGAAGGUCUUCGGAUCGUAAAACUCUGUUAUUAGGGAAGAACAAAUGUGUAAGUAACUAUGCACGUCUUGACGGUACCUAAUCAGAAAGCCACGGCUAACUACGUG
RNAcentral lists this ribosomal RNA (497 nucleotides) under uncultured bacterium. RNAcentral describes it as "partial 16S ribosomal RNA". It matches the Rfam family "Bacterial small subunit ribosomal RNA", at positions 28 to 507 of the family's 1533-position model. The record is from RNAcentral.